RNAcentral lists this ribosomal RNA (328 nucleotides) under uncultured Armatimonadota bacterium. RNAcentral's name for it is "bacterial SSU rRNA". It matches the Rfam family "Bacterial small subunit ribosomal RNA", at positions 28 to 351 of the family's 1533-position model. Lineage: Bacteria; Bacillati; Armatimonadota. The record is from RNAcentral.
GACGAACGCUUGCGGCGUGCCUAAGAAAUGCAAGUCGAGCGAGGUCUAGAAGCUUGCUUCGAAAACCUAGCGGCGAACGGUCGCGUAACACGUAAGCAACCUGCCCUAAAGUUGGGGAUAGCCCACCGAAAGGUGGAUUAAUACCGAAUGUGGAUGCCUUUUCUCCUGAUUAGGUAUCUAAAGCAGCAAUGCGCUUUAGGAUGGGCUUGCGGCCUAUCAGCUAGUUGGUGUGGGUAAUGGCUCACCAAGGCGACGACGGGUAGCUGGUCUGAGAGGAUGGUCAGCCGGACUGGGACUGAGAUACGGCCCAGACUCCUACGGGUGGCAG